Molecule: long non-coding RNA, 504 nt
Organism: Vespa crabro (European hornet)
Lineage: Eukaryota; Metazoa; Arthropoda; Insecta; Hymenoptera; Vespidae
Exons: 2
Source: RefSeq, a predicted model, not a curated record
GCGAGAUAACCUCGAGCUCUUUCGAACGUUCUUUUAUCCAUUUACUAUACUUUCUAAGAUUUAACUGGUGAUUUACGGAGUAUGUCUAUUGGUGUCGAAACGAUCGGAGAACGAGUAAUACCUACUUAACUCGAAUCGUGCUUUACAGAUAGGAGAAGUUUCAUUCAAGAUGGAGAACAAACGUGAAAAGAAAAUGGAACGAUCUGCGUGCAAGUCCUUAUAUAUAUAUAUAACGAUAACAGGAAGAUUGGUAUGAUCUAAUCAUGGAAUCUACUUCGAGCCCUGAACAAAGCAAACUGAACAACCUUAGUUCGUAAGAUGAUCUUAGAGGGAAGAGAAAGACGAGAAUCCAAUCAAAACCGAAUAGAAGAGGCCAUCGAAUAUCCGACGACUACGUUUGCCUUCUGCGAAGCAAUUAUCCCUUUUGCUAAGAAUGGUCUUAGGGACGUAAUUAAUCUCCUUGGCAAUCAACGUUAACAACACUAUGAACAUUACUCGUUCCAA